CUUUUCCGGGGCCACUGGUGAAAAGAAAUGGGUUUCCUGCACUUGAACUCUCUUUCCUGCAGCCCAGAGUACCUGCUUGUGAAACACUCGGUUACCCAGCUGUCUCUGGUUUUUAAAUCCAGAGGAUGUUGCUGAUUGAAAUUAUUGACUCCAAAAGUUGUGGUAGCCAGCCUCGUACCUGACUGCUUUGGGGCCUUACUCCAGUCUCAUAACUUCUCAAUAUUGUCACCAUCAAUUGAAUGUGAAGGGAUCCUGAAAUCUAAAGUUUUGAGAACCACAGUUCUAGGCUCUUCUCUGAUGUCUUAAUUUCCCAACCGGAUUGGCUGUCCUAUAUCGUCGGUCCUGGGUGCACUGAAGCACUACACUUUACGCUCCUUGAGCAGGCAAGCUCAUGGAUUGGCUGCUAAUAUUAGCCUCAUCCCUUGGUUUGUUCAAUCUUAUUUGAAAGGCUGAGAUUCCACAGGACAUCCAUAGGCUCUAAGGUCAUUUGAAAGCCAAUGGUCAAAAAAUUGCAUAUCCUCCAAUGUUUUAGAAUGGUUUCUAAAGAUU
Molecule: long non-coding RNA, 549 nt
Organism: Camelus dromedarius (Arabian camel)
Lineage: Eukaryota; Metazoa; Chordata; Mammalia; Artiodactyla; Camelidae
Exons: 5
Source: RefSeq, a predicted model, not a curated record